RNAcentral lists this ribosomal RNA (531 nucleotides) under Rhodotorula glutinis. RNAcentral describes it as "eukaryotic LSU rRNA". It matches the Rfam family "Eukaryotic large subunit ribosomal RNA", at positions 61 to 595 of the family's 3401-position model. Lineage: Eukaryota; Fungi; Basidiomycota; Microbotryomycetes; Sporidiobolales; Sporidiobolaceae. The record is from RNAcentral.
GAAACUAACAAGGAUUCCCCUAGUAGCGGCGAGCGAAGCGGGAAGAGCUCAAAUUUAUAAUCUGGCACCUUCGGUGUCCGAGUUGUAAUCUCUAGAAGUGUUUUCCGCGUUGGACCGCACACAAGUCUGUUGGAAUACAGCGGCAUAGUGGUGAAACCCCCGUAUAUGGUGCGGACGCCCAGCGCUUUGUGAUACACUUUCAAUGAGUCGAGUUGUUUGGGAAUGCAGCUCAAAUUGGGUGGUAAAUUCCAUCUAAAGCUAAAUAUUGGCGAGAGACCGAUAGCGAACAAGUACCGUGAGGGAAAGAUGAAAAGCACUUUGGAAAGAGAGUUAACAGUACGUGAAAUUGUUGGAAGGGAAACGCUUGAAGUCAGACUUGCUUGCCGGAGCUUGCUUCGGUUUGCAGGCCAGCAUCAGUUUUCCGGGGUGGAUAAUGACGGUUUGAAGGUAGCAGUCUCGGCUGUGUUAUAGCUUUCCGUUGGAUACAUCCUGGGGGACUGAGGAACGCAGCGUGCUUUUUGCGAAAGACUC